UCGGACAGGGUUUCAGCAGAGUAUAUAAAAUAAAUGAUUGAAGAUGAGUCUGAUAAUAAUAAUAUAUAUCAUAUAAGGUGAAGUCCCAAACCCCAUUUGAGGGCUUUAUUCGCCCCGGAGCCGCUGCCAGGGCCAAAUCAAACAAGCAUCAACCUGGUUGGCAAUUUUGUUUCGCUUUUGAAUCAGACAUGGAUAGAACAAACAACCUUGUGCCAACUCCCGGCCGUAACUUGGUAAUAAUAAACCUGGAACUAGAAGGAGAGAAAGAAUGGAAA
Molecule: small RNA, 275 nt
Filed under: Histoplasma ohiense
Lineage: Eukaryota; Fungi; Ascomycota; Eurotiomycetes; Onygenales; Ajellomycetaceae
Description: hypothetical lncRNA
Source: RNAcentral